Leopardus geoffroyi (Geoffroy's cat) is the source of this 841-nucleotide long non-coding RNA. RefSeq lists it as uncharacterized. The transcript has 2 exons. Lineage: Eukaryota; Metazoa; Chordata; Mammalia; Carnivora; Felidae. The record is from RefSeq and is a predicted model, not a curated record.
GUGUCCUUAUAAAAGGGGAAAUGUGGACACACAGACGUGAAGAUGAAGACAGAGAUCCUCAAGCCAGCAAGGGCCAAAGAUCGCCAACGGGCCACCAGAAGCUAGCGGGGAGCUCUGGAACGUCUCCCUCACAGAUUCAGAAGGAACAAACCCUGCCUGGACCUCCGGCCUCCGGAGCUGUGAGACGAUAGACGCCUACGGACUAAGCCCCCAUCUAAGCCCAUCUGUGGCGCUUUGUCACGGAGGCCUCGGGUAACUAACACACCCCGCUUCUAAUCUGGUGCCCGGGCCUCCCGUUGGAUGACUCUACCUGGGACCCGGCUCGCGAGGGAGGCUGGGACCUGGGACAGGUAGCUGAGGCUUCCAGACCCGGAAGCACAGAGAGAAUAGAGAAGACGGAGAGCAGGAGACAACUAUCGGGUCCCCGUCCCCAGGUGCCGCCUGUCCAUCUACCCCUGCGGAGGACACCAGCGCUCUGAUGGGCACCCUCUGUCGUGGCUCCUGGGUUCCCUCAACAUGCCUUCCGCGACGGCUGUUGAGAAGUCAGCUGCGAACCUGGUUGCUGUCGUUCGAGGGCAUCCGCCUUGUGAUACCAGCUGCUUCCACAAUCUUCUCGCUGUCUUCGGUGUUCCGCGCUUUCGCCGCGACGUACCCGGGUGUGGAUUUCUGCUCGUCCGCCCUUGCCUUUUUAUUUCCCUUUUAUAUUAUUCACGUACUGCAUUCUAGCUACCUUCUUUUCAUGUGUCUUUUAGGGCAGAAAAGCAUCCCAAGCUGGGUCUCCCCGCUUUACUCUUGCACAUAUCAAUAGAGGUCAACUUAUAAAUCAAGCUGUUACAAGCGA